AACGAACGCUGGCGGCAUGCCUAACACAUGCAAGUCGAACGAUACCUACGGGUCUAGUGGCGCACGGGUGCGGAACCCGAGGGGACCUGCACUUGGGGUCGGCAUAACUUCCAGAGGGGGGUGCUAAUACCGGAUAAUGUCUUCGACCAAAAGUGUAUUCGCCUUUGGUUGGGUCUGCGUUGAAUCAGCUAGUUGGUAACUUAACAGCCUACCAAGGCGACAUUCCAUAGCUGGUCUGAGAGGAUGCUCAGCCACACUGGGACUGUGACACGGCCCAGACUCCGACGGGAGGCAGCAGUGGGGAAUAUUGGACAAGGGGCGAAGGCGUGAUCCAGCAAUGCCGCGUGAGUGAUGAAGGCCUUAGGGUUGUAAAGCUCUUUUACCCGGGAUGCUAUGACAGUACCGGGAGAAUAAGCUCCGGCUAACUCCGUG
RNAcentral lists this ribosomal RNA (432 nucleotides) under uncultured bacterium. Its description in RNAcentral is "partial 16S ribosomal RNA". It matches the Rfam family "Bacterial small subunit ribosomal RNA", at positions 29 to 507 of the family's 1533-position model. The record is from RNAcentral.